Molecule: small nuclear RNA, 105 nt
Filed under: Myotis davidii
Lineage: Eukaryota; Metazoa; Chordata; Mammalia; Chiroptera; Vespertilionidae
Source: RNAcentral
GUGCUCGCUUUGGCAGCACAUAUACUAAAAUUGGAACAAUACAAAGAUUAGCAUGGCCCCCUGCACAAGGAUGACACACAAAUUUAUGAAAUGUUCCAUAUUAAA